GGGUCAGUAUCCUAAUGGUAAGGAUCUUUUUUGUCAAGAAAGCAUAUGUCGGUUCGAGUCCGGUCUGGCCCG
Glarea lozoyensis 74030 is the source of this 72-nucleotide transfer RNA. It matches the Rfam family "tRNA". Rfam says of the family: Transfer RNA (tRNA) molecules are approximately 80 nucleotides in length. Their secondary structure includes four short double-helical elements and three loops (D, anti-codon, and T loops). Further hydrogen bonds mediate the characteristic L-shaped molecular structure. tRNAs have two regions of fundamental functional importance: the anti-codon, which is responsible for specific mRNA codon recognition, and the 3' end, to which the tRNAs corresponding amino acid is attached (by aminoacyl-tRNA synthetases). tRNAs cope with the degeneracy of the genetic code in two manners: having more than one tRNA (with a specific anti-codon) for a particular amino acid; and 'wobble' base-pairing, i.e. permitting non-standard base-pairing at the 3rd anti-codon position. The record is from Rfam. NCBI's taxonomy places the organism in Eukaryota, Fungi, Ascomycota, Leotiomycetes, Helotiales, Helotiaceae.